Molecule: long non-coding RNA, 477 nt
Organism: Cyprinodon tularosa
Lineage: Eukaryota; Metazoa; Chordata; Actinopteri; Cyprinodontiformes; Cyprinodontidae
Exons: 3
Source: RefSeq, a predicted model, not a curated record
AAUAGAUAUGGAAAUUUUUUUUAUUUUUUUUUUUAUUUACUUGUUAUUGGAGGCGGAGAGUCGCUUUGACGGCUUCGGCGGCAGCAAAACCUGCGACGGAUUUUUCUCAGGCUGGCAGUGCGCAGUGGAGAGGUCAAAACGGCAUGUGCUGUCCUGCACAACAUCUGCCUGGGAGCUGGUGAUAUCACGGCCCCAGAGGAUGACAUGCCAGAGGAUGAGGAGGGGAGAACGUGUUGGAGGCAGUCAGUGGUGCUCCAUGGAGGGACCAGCUGUCUGCCAAGUAACAUGGCAGCCGUCAAUUGGGGCAGCUGUCGAUUGGGUCAGCCCUGCAAACCCUGAUGGAUGAUGUGGUGAACAGUGGAGAGAGGCACCCCCACCCCCCAGAUGAUGUCCCACUCACAGUCAGAAGACUCCAAGGUCAUCUGUGUGGCAUCGCAUCCAGUCCAGCAGCACCACCAGGGACUCCUGCUCAGUCAC